This is a long non-coding RNA of Balaenoptera acutorostrata (minke whale), 2455 nucleotides long. RefSeq lists it as uncharacterized. The transcript has 3 exons. NCBI's taxonomy places the organism in Eukaryota, Metazoa, Chordata, Mammalia, Artiodactyla, Balaenopteridae. The record is from RefSeq and is a predicted model, not a curated record.
UCACUGGGUGAGUUUUACUCCACAUUUCAUUUUUGGAACAAAGAAAGAUGACUUGUUCAAAAGGAAGCCCUUACUAAGAAAAAGUGAAAGGCUCUGCAAUUACUUUUGGAAGUGGAGGGUGGAGACGGCGGGGAACAAAUGAACUGGCAAUGACUGUGAACUCUGACAUGAUGGUCUGAUGUCAGCCCAGGUGGAGCUGUGUCAGCCCCUCGAGCCAUCUUUCUUCACUGUUAACAGCGAAAGGGCUUAUGCUGCGUGGGAAGACUUAAUUUCCACUCAAGGAAGAAACUCCUGGAAGAAACCACGAUGGUCUCCACGGGACCUUCAGACGUUCUGACACCUCGCUUAGGAGCCUGGCUAGGAGACAGGACCCAGCCCUGUGUGUUACCUGACAAGGUCCCAGAAGUGACAGAAAAAAAGCUAUGGACAUACUUUUGGCUCAUGAUAAAUAUGGCCAAAUUGCUUUUCAAAAAAGGUGUUGGAGCAAUUGGAUAUCCACAAGCAAAACAGUGAACCUUGAUUUAAAUCUCACGUCUUAUACAAAAAUUAACUCAAAUGGAUCAAAGACUGAAAUGUAAGACAUACAACUAUAAAAUUUUUAGAAAAAAAAAAAAAAAACCCAGGAGAAAAUCAUCAGGACCUAGGGCUAGGCAAAGAGGUCUUAGACUUGACACCAAAAACAUGACCCAGAAAAGGAAAACUUGAUGAAUUGGACCUCAUCAAAAUGUAAAAUGUUUGCUCUUCAAAAGACCCUGUGAAGAAGAUGAAAAGAUAAACUACAGACUGGGAGAAAAUAUCUGCAAACCACAUAUCUGACAAAGGACGUAUGUCUAGAAUAUAUAAAGAGCUCUCAAAACUAGCCAGUGAAAUAACAAGCAAUCCAAUUAGAACUUGGGCAAAAGACAACAUCAGACAUUUCACUGAAGAGUAUAUAUACAUGGUAAAUAAUCACAUGAAAAGAUGUUCAAUGUCAUUAGCCAUCAGGGAAAUGCAAAUUAAAACCACAAUGAGAUAUCACUACACACCUAUCAGAAUAGUUAACAUUAAAAAUAGAGGUAACACCAAAUGCUGGCAAGGAAUUAGAAACGGGACCACUCAUAUAUUGCUGGCGGGUAUGAAAAGUGGUCCAGCCACUCUGAAAAACAGCAGAACAGUUUCUUAUGAAACUGAAUAUACCAUCCAGCUCAGCAAUUGCACUCUUGGGCAUUUAUCCCAGAAAAAUAAAAACAUCUGCUCACCCAAAACCUGUAUGUGAAUAUUCCAAACAACCUUAUUCUAAUAGCCCAAAACUGGAAACAACCAAAAUACACAUCAACGGGUGAAUGGAUAAAGAAACUAUGGUACAUCCAUAUCACGAAAUAGUACUAGGCAAUAAAAAGGAACAAACUACUGAUACACUCAACUACUUGGAUGGAUUUAAAGGGAAUUAUGCUGAGCAGAAAAGAAAAAGCCAGUCUCAGAAGGUUACAUACUGUACGAUGUCAUUUAUAUAACAUUCUUGAAAUGACUAAAUUUUAGAGAUGGAGAACAGAAUAGUGGUUGCCAAGGGAUGUGGUGGGGGAGAGAGGGAGGAACUGCCCUGUAUCUUGACUACCACAGUGUUUCCAUGAAUCUACACAUGUGAUAAAAUGGCACAGAAGUAAACACACACACACACACACACACACACGGCUGCAUGUAAAACUGGUGAAAUCUGAAUAAGGUUGGUGGAUCAUACCAUUGUAAUUUCCUGGUUGUCAAAUUGUACUCUAGUCAUGCAAGAAGGGGAUCAGGACUUCUCUGUAUUAAUUCUUACAACUGCAUGUGAAUCUACAGUUCUAUCAAAACACAAAGUAAAAAACAAACAAACAAAAAAAGUGGGGCUCGCCUUGGAGACCUUUUAUGUUGACAUAAGCAAUAUAUAGGCAUCCCUCUUAGCUUUUGGCCAGCAUUUUGAUGCCCAGGAAAAUCCCACCCUCCUAGCUUUUGGCCAGCAUUUUGAUGCCCAGGAAAACCCCACCCUCCUAGCUUUUGGCCAGCAUUUUGAUGCCCAGGAAAACAAGGAUGGGCAUCGCUCCCAGAGAAUCCUAUCAGGUGUGUCGAGCUGUGUGGCUAGAAGCCAGGGCCACACCCGCUCUGAGCUUCAUCUGCAUUUCAAGUGGGGAGCAACUGAGGAGCCCCCAGGUUGGCAUUUGGAUUGUCUGAUGGGAAGGGAUUGUGCUUGACUAAUUAAAGGCUCUGAGUACUGAAUGAGACGGAGUGUCACUCAAAGACAGAAACCAACAAUUGUGUGUUUUCAAGCAGGGCUCAGUCACAGGGUCUUGUCCUCAGGGGGUGCCCCCUCCGUGGGGCUGAGACUGAAGGAGACUGUGUCGUCCCAGGCAAAGAGGAGAAGAGUGACUUUCGUCCAGAUUACUUGGACCAAAAGAUGGAGUUGGGCACUGAAUAAAUUAUUUGCUCUUGCCUAAAUUUUCUA